This is a non-coding RNA of Coturnix japonica (Japanese quail), 2565 nucleotides long. The record is from RefSeq and is a predicted model, not a curated record. Lineage: Eukaryota; Metazoa; Chordata; Aves; Galliformes; Phasianidae.
GUGCAUUGUGUUUAAAUGGUUUUUAUUUUCUUUUAAUACAUCUAUAGGCAUAAUAACUAAAAACAAAAAUGUAGGUUGCUUAUUAAUUGGCUUACUUGUAAGCUCCUUAAGAAGAAGAAAAUGGUUCUAACUGAAAUGAAGAAUUUGAUUAAGAGGCUUUUAGGAUAUGCUCAGAAACUAAUCAGUGGGGUAGUCUGAGAGUAGCACUACUGAUGGGCUGCAGAAUGGCUUAUUAAAGUGGUUCCCGAGAUAGAAAGAGAUUAGUUUCAGUUGCCCCAACCCAAGUGCAACACCUUGUAAUUGACCUUCCUGAACCCCAUUAGGUUCUCCUGGACCUACUUUUUUGCUUUUUUAGAUGACAUUCCUUCCUUCUGUUUUAUCAACUGGACGCCUCAGCUUCUCAUCAGCAAAUUUGCUGAGGGUGCACUCAGUCCCAUUGGUUAGGUUGCUGAUAAAAAGGUUGAAGAGCCCCAGUUUCAAGACAGACCCACUAUGAGACACUUGUGAUAGGCCUCCACCUGCAUGUAUAGCUAUUGACUUUAGCCCUCUGUAGCCCUCUGAACUGUGGCCAUCCAACCAGUUCCUUAUCCUUUAGAGGAAAUGUUCUGUUCAUCCUAGUUAUGCACAGAGAAAGAGGUGUUCUUCCCAUGUGGGAAGGGAAUAGAUGCAGCUGAGCCCUCUAUUCCUUAGGCUCUGCCUGCAUUGUAAGAGCAGUCAGUCUGAGAAACAGCUCCUUUUUAAGCCUUGAAAGAGUCAUUAACAGCAAUGGCAUUGCUGUACAGUCAGUGAUAUCAAAAGGUGUCCUUGGGACUCUUCUGGCACCUUACCUGAGAUUUUGAAAGCAGUUUUUUUGCUAUUGCAAAAAUGAAACCUCAAAAGUAAAGAUUUUGAAGUGCUUUGAAUAUAAGGCAAUGAGAGUUAUUCAUAGUAUUAGUGAAAAUGAAUUCUGUGUGGAAGGCAUAUGACAAACUGCUUUUCCAAGCAGCAAGUCGAAGUAUAUGUGUGUAUUAUGUCUGGCUGUCUGCUUUUCAGUUCCUUUUCGAAUAGGUAAUGAAUAACACUAGGUGGAGCUACCAACUGAAUACUGAAAUAACUUCUUGUGUGAAAACUUGUGAAUGCAUAAGCUAAGAAACCGCAAAUAAUUGCAGGAAGAACAAACUGUCAGUGGAUGACUUCUAGGUUUUAUUAGCAAUACUGUGCAUAAGAAUACAAGUGAGAACACAGAGUACAGGUUUUGUCCACGCUAUUUUGGUUUCUAAAAGCUGGUAAUGUUCUUUUUGUAAACUCUUUUAGCCAGUUAUCGUGGACUUCUCAGUUACUUUUCCCCUCACUGCCAUAGGUAUUAGCUAAGGAGAGGAAAAAUAACUGUCAUAUUCUUAAACAAUAAAAUAAUAAACUGAAUCUCAUCUGUUUGCAGUUGAAGUGAGAAAGACAACUGGAAAAAGAAUUAAUUGAAGCUAAGGUCCAGACCCAGUUUAUCAAGCCCUAAUUAAUCAGCUGAAAUACCUAAACUGAGUCCAGAAAGCUCAAGAAUUAGUAAUUGCUUGUUCACUUCUUUUCUUGAUUUGACGGUCAGCUGUAAUGUAUGAGAGGCAAACCUUAAAUGAGUGACAGUGUGAUCUAAGCUUACUCAUUUUAAGCCAUUGCAUCUUCAUUCUUUCCUGUUCAUCAGGAUUCAGUGUCUUACCCUUACACUUUGUUUUUUCAGCUUUCGUUGUAGGGAGUCUUCCUGUCCUGUUAUCUUUUCUGUUGUAUCCUAUCUGCCAUUACUCUCCUCAGGUUAGAACUUCGAGUAUUACUGCUGUGUGUUCCAUGUAUUCUUCCUCUCUGUACAUUAGUGUUAUACAUUCCUACAUUACUUCCUUCGGUGAGAUCUUUUAUUCAUUCUUAGGUAAGUUGUCUGAUGUGAACAACUUGUGUCUUGCCUUUCGUUAUGAGCUCCAUCGUGUUUUUGAUCACUGAACUGUUUGAUCAUUUGUACAUCUGUGUUACCUGUGGUUAUAGGAACUAGCAGUAUGCAUUCACACUUGAGUAUUUGAAAUGUUCCUCUGCAGGUAUCCAGUUUCUCCAAAGCAACUUUCUAGGCUGAGAUAAUUCAAACACCAGCAGUUUUCCUUACUGUUUUAAUUUAACCAGAUAUUGGAAAUAUCUGGUUCUGGAUUUUGGUGGUAGACCACCUCAUACUUGAAAGGGAAAUAUCUGAGGAGAUCUUUCUUUCAGGGAAAGAACCACCAGGCUGGAUGUGGCUGUGGGCGGCCUGGUUUAGUAGUUGGCAACCCUGCACAUCGCAGGGGGGUUGAAACUAGAUGGUCAACCAUGGUCCUUUUCAACACAGGCCAUUCUAUGGUUCUCUGAUAAUUUGAUGUCUAAUUUACUGACUUUUGCAACUGUAGAGGUAUUUAUGUAGUUCAUCAGUGUUGUGCAGGUUGGUUUAUUUAUUUUUUUAUUUCCUUGAGACAGGUGGGAUGGAUGGCUUCUGAUCUUCACAACAUCAUUCUGUGGGCCAUAUGUACAGUUCAGUGCCUGAACAUUUCGUAUGUUUUUUACUUCAGUUCAUGUGCUUUG